This 255-nucleotide ribosomal RNA is filed under the name uncultured bacterium. RNAcentral describes it as "partial 16S ribosomal RNA". It matches the Rfam family "Bacterial small subunit ribosomal RNA", at positions 524 to 776 of the family's 1533-position model. The record is from RNAcentral.
UGCGUAGGUGGCAAGCGUUUGUCCGGAAUUAUUGGGCGUAAAGCGCGCGCAGGCGGUCCUUUAAGUCUGAUGUGAAAGCCCACGGCUCAACCGUGGAGGGUCAUUGGAAACUGGGUGACUUGAGUACAGAAGAGGAGAGUGGAAUUCCACGUGUAGCGGUGAAAUGCGUAGAUAUGUGGAGGAACACCAGUGGCGAAGGCGACUCUCUGGGCUGUAACUGACGCUGAGGCGCCGAAAGCGUGGGGAGCAAACAGG